GAUCCUGGCUCAGAAUCAACGCUGGCGGCGCGCCUAACACAUGCAAGUCGAACGAGAAAGGGGAGCAAUCCCUGAGUAAAGUGGCGUACGGGUGAGUAACACGUGGAUCAUCUACCCCUUAGUGAGGAAUAACCCUGGGAAACCGGGGCUAAUACCGCAUGAGCUCGAGAGAGGAAAGCAGCAAUGCGCUGAGGGAGGAGUCCGCGGCCGAUUAGCUAGUUGGCAGGGUAAAAGCCUACCAAGGCAAAGAUCGGUAGCCGGCCUGAGAGGGCACACGGCCACACUGGCACUGAAACACGGGCCAGACUCCUACGGGAGGC
Molecule: ribosomal RNA, 320 nt
Filed under: uncultured Acidobacteriota bacterium
Lineage: Bacteria; Pseudomonadati; Acidobacteriota
Description: bacterial SSU rRNA
Rfam family: Bacterial small subunit ribosomal RNA
Source: RNAcentral